RNAcentral lists this ribosomal RNA (306 nucleotides) under Triticum aestivum (bread wheat). Its description in RNAcentral is "partial small subunit ribosomal RNA". The record is from RNAcentral. Lineage: Eukaryota; Viridiplantae; Streptophyta; Magnoliopsida; Poales; Poaceae.
AUGCGGGCAACGAGGGAUAAGUCGAUCCAGCCAACACAGGCGAUUAUUCUGCUACAGAAUGGAGAAAGGAGGGAGAUGAUCCAGCCGACGCAGGCGAUUCAUGCCGAUGCUUCGUCUGAUCAGAACUGCUCCAUCAAGAUUUCAAGAUGUGGUCAUUCUUCAGUUUCUGUUCUGACAUUCAUGGCGGAUGAUGAUGUAUGGUGUUUACUUUCGUAUAGUGUUUCAGAUUUGGAACCGGAACAAUAUGUUUUGUCUUUGGUUACAGACUUACAGGACCUGCCAAUGGUCUUCUGGAAUUUUAAUUAG